CAGUAAAUAGUUUAAUAAAAAUUUUAAUUUUGGAGAUUAAUGAUAAGCCUAGCUUUUUACUGA
RNAcentral lists this transfer RNA (63 nucleotides) under Urostylis flavoannulata. Its description in RNAcentral is "tRNA-Pro". The record is from RNAcentral. Lineage: Eukaryota; Metazoa; Arthropoda; Insecta; Hemiptera; Urostylididae.